Molecule: long non-coding RNA, 3233 nt
Organism: Mya arenaria
Lineage: Eukaryota; Metazoa; Mollusca; Bivalvia; Myida; Myidae
Exons: 7
Source: RefSeq, a predicted model, not a curated record
CUAACGACAAAUCCAACCCAGUUAAGAUCACUGUCAGGACCAUUUCCUGUAUUGGUGGAGGAGAAAACUGAUGCUCCCUCCUAUUGGGAUACAGAUGCAGAGAACUCGAUAUUCAAAAGCUGGAGCUACAGCUGCGGCAAAUUAAAAUGGAAAUUAUGAUGGCAGUGGCCUACUUGAGUUUCACAAAACUUCCACUGAGAUUGAGACCAGCAUGCAAGACCAAAGUCAAAAAACACAACAAGAUUCACAAUAUGGAAUCAAAAGGAGCUGACAGGGUAGACUGAUUUAUUAAAACACAGAUGAUAACACAGACAGAAAUUUCAACAGCGGUAGUCUUCGAUAUGUUAAAGAUACUGCUGUGGGUGUACAUGGACUUCUGAAGCAUCAGUCUGAUUUACUAGCAGAACUGUGAAUGCAACAUCUCUAGCCAGAAAUAAUUAUCCUGAGCGGCAUGUCUUUCUCGGUACUGAAAACUAACCAUGGAUACUGGAGGCUGAUAGAACCAAGCAUGGACACUGGUAAAACCUACCCUGGAUGUUGAUAGAAACAACCAUGGAUGCUGAUAGAACCUACUGUAGAAGCCGAUAUAACCAACAUUGGACAAUAUCAUAACUUACCAUGGGCAGUGAAAGAAUUGAAGAAUUGACCAAAGGCAGUAAAGUUCAAGCAUAUUCCUCAGGAUCCCCUACAUCUCUACAUAGAGGGACACGCAAACAGCCACAUCAUAUUCCUGAGGACCUUUACAUCUCUACAAGGAGGGACACACAAACAGACACAUCAUAUUCCUGAGGACCUUUACAUAUCUACUAGGAGGGACACAUAAACAGACUCAUCAUAUUCCUGAGGACCUUUACAUCUCAACAUAAAGGGUCACACAAACAGCCACAUCAUAUUCCUGAGGACCUUUACUUCUCAACAAUGAGGGACACACAAACAGCCACAUCAUAUUCCUGAGGACCUUUACAUCUCAAUAUAGAGGGACACACAAACAGACGCAUCAUAUUCCCGAGGACCUUUACAUCUCUACACGGAGGAACACACAAACAGCCACAUCAUAUUCCUGAGGACCUUUACUUCUCAACCUAAAGGGUCACACAAACAGCCAAAUCAUAUUCCUGAGGACCUUUACAUCUUUACAAGGAGGGACACACAAACAGCCACAUCAUAUUCCUGAGGACCUUUACAUCUCAAAAUAGAGGGACACAGAAACAAUCACAUCAUAUUCCUGAGGACCUUUACAACUCAAAAUAGAGGGACACACAAACAGACACAUCAUAUUCCUGAGGACCUUUACAUCUCAAAAUAGAGGGACACAGAAACAGCCACAUCAUAUUCCUGAGGAUCUUUACAUCUCUACAAGGAGGGACACACAAACAGCCACAUCGUAUUCCUGAGGACCUUUACAUCUCUACAAGGAGGGACACACAAACGGCCACAUCAUAUUCCUGAGGAUCUUUACAUCUCAAAAUAGAGGGACACACAAACAGCCACAUCAUAUUCCUGAAAACCUUUACAUCUCAACAUAGAGGGGUACACAAACAGCCACAUCAUAUUCCUGAAAACCUUUACAUCUCAACAUAGAGGAACAGAUAAACAGCCACAUCAUAUUCCUGAGGACCUUUACAGGUCAAAAUAGAGGGACACACAAACAGCCACUUCGUUUUCCUGAAGAUCUUUACCUCUCAACGUAGAGGGACACACAAACAGCCACAUCAAAUUCCUGAGGACCUUUACAUCUCAACAUAGAGGGACACACAAACAGCCACAUCAUGUUCCUGGAGACCUUUACAUCUCAAUAUUUAGUGACACACAAACAGCCAUAUCAUAUUCCUGAGGACCUUUCAGCAAAUUGAGUUAUUGUCCUGUGUUACGUUUCUUGAUCAGAACCAUUUUUGAAAACUACAGGAUGUAUUUCAACUACUGUCUACACACCACAGUUAAGCACAAUGAGAAUAAGUAGAGUGUACAAGAAACUGUUAAAGCUACUAACAGAUCGUUUGCCCUUUGUAACUUUUUCAUAACCAACUGGCUCCGAUUUCUCGAAACUACUUAAGCUUUACAGGCUUAAGUAGCUUAUUUCAAAAUGCCAAAAUAUAUACUUAACUAGAUUUUGAUAAAUCAUAAAAACCUCUUCUGAUAAUCAUGAUGAUAAUUCCUUUCUCAAGUAUAAAAUAUCUUAAAGAAGUAAACAUUACGCAAUUUAUUGUAAUCCAAAAAUAGUGAGCUUAGCUUAAUCCUGUUUAAAGGGACUUCAAAAGAUUCGAGAAUUCGGGGCCAGAGCAUUUCUUUAACAUUUCUAGAUCAAAUUCAGUGGAGCUUCAUUCAAUGAUAGAAUUGAAUGAGAGUAAGUAUAUUAUAUAAGAACUAUCAGUCAAGUUAAGCUUUUCGCAGUUAUUGCCAUGUAUGACAUUUUUCCUUGUCCAUAACUUAAAAAUACUUGUUAGAACUUACAUACAAUUGUAAAGCACAGUGAUGGUUAGAACUUAAUUAAACUACAUACAAUUGUAAAGCACAGUGAUAGGAAGUAAAGUAUACAUAACACUAUUAUACCUUAUAAAGAUGGCAUUAUUCCCCUGUCCGGAACAUAACUACUUGAUGAAACUUUAUGAAACAUUUUUUAAAGCACAAUGAGCGGAAAUGCACUGUAUGAAAAGCAUAACUCUAUUUCAGCUCAGUGCAGAGCUACUGCCCUUUGUCACUUUUUUUGUUCGGAAAACUUAAAUACUACUCGAUGGAAUUUAAUUAACAACUCUGUUUUAGGGAAUAUUAGAAUAAUAAUGAAUGCUACACUUGUUUCCCUAGCGCCGGUUGUUGACUCAGUUUGUUGAAGGAUUUGCAUAAUAGCAACAAUGCAUUCAAGAUCUAAGCAAGUAUAUCAUGUAUUGAUUGAAAAAAAAUAUAUGUGUUCCCAACAUUAUUUAAUAAUUAUUAAUGAUUCUGUUUGAUUAUACGUAUAGGAAAACAAAGCAAAUUAUGGACCUUUUUCUUUUGACAUGGACAUUCUGAUUAAGGUUUUGCAUGUAAGCACACAUAUCAGCCAUUAGUUGAUGCAUUGAUUGUAUUUCGACUUUAUACAAUGAUACUCAACCGUUCAUCCCAAUCAAAUAACCAAGUUUAUUUGUGACAUUUGUACUUAACUAUCCAACCUCUGAUUAGGCCAAUUUUAUAGUUCUUUUGGGUUGAUUAUGGCUUGUACGUCAAAACAAAUUGUUUAAGUUGUGCAUGUAAGAAAA